RNAcentral lists this ribosomal RNA (253 nucleotides) under uncultured bacterium. RNAcentral's name for it is "partial 16S ribosomal RNA". It matches the Rfam family "Bacterial small subunit ribosomal RNA", at positions 524 to 776 of the family's 1533-position model. The record is from RNAcentral.
UACGGGGGGAGCAAGCGUUGUUCGGAUUUACUGGGCGUAAAGGGCGCGUAGGCGGCCCGGUAAGCAGGGGGUGAAAUAUCCCAGCUUAACUGGGAGGGUGGCAUUGAUACUGCGGGGCUAGAGUACAGAUGAGGUAGGCGGAAUUGACGGUGUAGCGGUGAAAUGCUUAGAUAUCGUCAAGAACACCUAUAGCGAAGGCAGCUUACUAGGCUGUAACUGACGCUGAGGCACGAAAGUGUGGGGAUCAAACAGG